UGAGAUUAUCAGAGGUCGCUGGAAUUCCUAGUGUAGCAGUGAAAUGCGUAGAUAUUAGGAAGAACACCAAUGGCGUAGGCAGGCGACUGGGGUAUUUCUGACGCUAAGGCACGAAAGCGUGGGGAGCGAACCGGAUUAGAUACCCGGGUAGUCCACGCCGUAAACGAUGGAUGCUAAUUGUUCGGGGUAUCGACCCCUUGAGUAAUAAAGCUAACGCGUUAAGCAUCCCGCCUGUGGAGUACGGCCGCAAGGCUAAAACAUAAAGGAAUUGACGGGGACCCGCACAAGCGGUGGAGGAUGU
Molecule: ribosomal RNA, 301 nt
Filed under: uncultured Candidatus Saccharibacteria bacterium
Lineage: Bacteria; Candidatus Saccharimonadota
Description: bacterial SSU rRNA
Rfam family: Bacterial small subunit ribosomal RNA
Source: RNAcentral